AAUAUAGGUAAUCAUUGAAAAUUCCCGGGGUAUAUUUAAUAGUGCGGGAUUUCCCUAUAGUUUUAUUUUUAUAUCCCACUCAAUACCGUUUUCAUACAUAACCAAGCAGCGAUCUAUUUCUUGGCGGAAAUAUUCUUCUGGAAGAAGGAAGGAAGUGAAGGGAUACCAUCAAGGAUACGAAGUGUUCUAUUAGUAUGUGGAAGAGAUGUUUUGUGUAAGACUGGCAACUUUAAAAAGUGUGACUUUCGAAUAGCGGUGUACUAUUGUUGCCUUUAUUUAUGUAUAUGUAUGAUAGUAAGUGAGGACUUUGUUAAGGAACAUCAGCAAGGGAAGAAGUCAAAGUAUAUAGCGUGAAGAUAUCUUAAAUAUUAAGAUCUGCGAAACCAUAUUCUGGUUUUGAUAAUACUACUGAUGCUUUUACCUAUACAUGAGUUCCGUAAAAGAUGAGCUUUCAAUUGGGAUAUUUGACUGGUAAAGUUGAGAAACUUGUCAAAAUUCCUACGGAUGCCACACAAUUUGGUUGACCGUUAUGGAAUAUCUUAGUCACAGAUGACCACGGCGUUCAUGGUGAAGGUUAACCAAGAAGAGCGCUAUGGACAAAAUGCUAUUUUCCUUUGUAAUCAGACCAAUUUACAGAACAGAAAGAGGAAGUAAAUUGAUUCAUGAGAAUUUGGCUGAUUUCAACGAAUUCAACGGAAAGGGAGAUAAUACCAGUUAAGCUGAUGUACAUCAAUUAUGUUUCCCACGUCCUUUGCAUUUAUACAAUAGUAUUAAUUAUACAGGAAUAAUGAAGAAGCCUUUUUAACGACCUACCUCCCCCUAAAAUAAAUUAAAUAUUAAAACCAAAAAGAAAUAAAGAUUCAAAAUAAAAAAUACAAAAAACAAAAGCGAAAACAAAACACUAGCUAGCAUAAAACAAAUAAAAAAAGAAGAAACAGUUUUGCAACUGUAAAAGUAUUUGUUAAAGAAAAAGAAAAAAUAUUUCUAUGAUUAGAAAUAAACAUGUUUUAAUACUUACUCCAUG
Mytilus trossulus (common blue mussel) is the source of this 1024-nucleotide long non-coding RNA. RefSeq lists it as uncharacterized. The transcript is spliced from 6 exons. Lineage: Eukaryota; Metazoa; Mollusca; Bivalvia; Mytilida; Mytilidae. The record is from RefSeq and is a predicted model, not a curated record.